This 468-nucleotide ribosomal RNA is filed under the name uncultured bacterium. Its description in RNAcentral is "partial 16S ribosomal RNA". It matches the Rfam family "Bacterial small subunit ribosomal RNA", at positions 28 to 507 of the family's 1533-position model. The record is from RNAcentral.
GACGAACGCUGGCGGCGUGCUUAACACAUGCAAGUCGAACGGAAAGGCCCUGCUUUUGUGGGGUGCUCGAGUGGCGAACGGGUGAGUAACACGUGAGUAACCUGCCCUCGACUUUGGGAUAACUUCAGGAAACUGGGGCUAAUACCGGAUAGGAGCUCCUGCUGUAUGGUGGGGGUUGGAAAGUUUCGGCGGUUGGGGAUGGACUCGCGGCUUAUCAGCCUGUUGGUGGGGUAGUGGCUUACCAAGGCUUUGACGGGUAGCCGGCCUGAGAGGGUGACCGGCCACAUUGGGACUGAGAUACGGCCCAGACUCCUACGGGAGGCAGCAGUGGGGGAUAUUGCACAGUGGGCGGAAGCCGGAUGCAGCAACGCCGCGUGCGGUAUGACGGCCUUCGGGUUGUAAACCGCGUUCGCCUGUGACGAAGCGUGAGUGACGGUAAUGGGUAAAGAAGCACCGGCUAACUACGUG